RNAcentral lists this ribosomal RNA (472 nucleotides) under Cherax tenuimanus. RNAcentral describes it as "partial 16S ribosomal RNA". It matches the Rfam family "Bacterial large subunit ribosomal RNA", at positions 1932 to 2608 of the family's 2925-position model. The record is from RNAcentral. Lineage: Eukaryota; Metazoa; Arthropoda; Malacostraca; Decapoda; Parastacidae.
CGCGGUAUUAUGACCGUGCGAAGGUAGCAUAAUCAUUAGUCUUUUAAUUGAAGGCUGGAAUGAAUGGUUGGACGAGAAAUAAGCUGUCUUUGUCUUAUAAAUUGAAUUUAACUUUUAAGUGAGAGGGCUUAAAUGUAUUAAAGGGACGAUAAGACCCUAUAAAGUUUAUACAUUCAAAUAAUUGAAAAUAAUUAAGAAAAAUUAAAGUUUAUUAUUAGGAAGAUGUUUAGUUGGGGCGACUAGGAUAUAAGUUAAUUNUAACUGUCUNNUAAAUUAAAGUCAAAGAUAUUUGAGUUUGUGAUCCUUUUUUAGGAUUCAAGAACAAGUUACUUUAGGGAUAACAGCGUAAUUUUUUUUGAGAGUUCUUAUCGACGAAAGAGUUUACGACCUCGAUGUUGAAUUAAAAGUUUCUCUGGAGUGUAGCAAUUCCAGGAGAAGGUCUGUUCGACCUUUAAAUUUUUACAUGAUUUGA